Molecule: non-coding RNA, 767 nt
Organism: Salvelinus sp. IW2-2015
Lineage: Eukaryota; Metazoa; Chordata; Actinopteri; Salmoniformes; Salmonidae
Source: RefSeq, a predicted model, not a curated record
UUCAACCAUUACACGUACCCCUGUGCUCAGAGAAAUUUCUGUCACAAAAUGGCGGAGACAAACGUUAAUAGACCCCAUUUUGUGGAGUAGAAAGUCUAUGGGUGCAGCUAACUUUACCCACUGGAUAUCAACGAUUCAGCUAAAUAAAUAGCAACAAUACUGACAUUAGCGGCUCGUCAACAUUGAGGCAUUCGAUUUCGGAUUCACUAGUUGACGGUGGCUGCUAGCUAGUUAGCCACAUUUAGCCAGCAGCUAACGUUAGCCACAUAGCUAGCCAGUUUUAGAUCCAGGACAGUUUAUGAAUGGGUUUGGAAUUAAGCAAAUAUUCCGUGUUUCCUUCCAUGAGCAGAAGGGUUUUAUUUGCUGACAUGGUGGCAACGUAGCUAGCUAUUAUUGGACAGGUCCUUGACAUUUCCUGGAUCUCAACUGGAAUACAUUUUAUUGCUGCUUGUAAACCCAUAACGUGAAAAAAUAGCUCCCCCUUGUGGAUAUUUUACUUGCAAGAGAUGCGUUGAAUAUUUUGUAAUAUGUUGUGUUUCAUGUUAAAAAAUAUGAGGCGUUCUAUGUCCUAUGUAAGAAACGUUACUAAUAAAGAGCAAACCAAUACAUUAUCAGGGAACAAAUAAUUAGCAAAAAUGUAUUGAUUUGUUUUAAACAUACCAGGGAAAUGUACAGUUACAAAGGCCAUCUGUCACAUGUGUAUUUGUCAUGGAAAACCUGUAAUAUAUGCAAAAAUGUAUAUAAUACACACUAUAUUUCAUCCCCCC